GAAGAAGCAAAAUGAUGAGAAAUACUUGCAGAGCCAAAGUGAGUGAGGUGUGUGUGUGCAGGUGUGUGACGGUUGGUUGUGAGUUGUGUGCCUUGUAAUUGGGCGGUGAUAGCUAAACUGAUAAGAUCUGAUUGCUUC
RNAcentral lists this small nucleolar RNA (138 nucleotides) under Patagioenas fasciata monilis. RNAcentral's name for it is "Small nucleolar RNA ZL1". It matches the Rfam family "Small nucleolar RNA ZL1". From Rfam's summary of the family: Host gene TRRAP. Predicted target U2@U47. The record is from Rfam by way of RNAcentral. Lineage: Eukaryota; Metazoa; Chordata; Aves; Columbiformes; Columbidae.